RNAcentral lists this long non-coding RNA (351 nucleotides) under Sorghum bicolor (sorghum). Its description in RNAcentral is "long non-coding RNA (SBIC_LNC008420)". Lineage: Eukaryota; Viridiplantae; Streptophyta; Magnoliopsida; Poales; Poaceae. The record is from RNAcentral.
CGAGACCGAAGAGGCCGCCAGGGUGGAGCGCGCGGCCAAGCGCCUUGUCGACGAAGUCAAGGUAAGCGGCUUUUUGUACUGCUGCGCAUUCUUUUGCCUUGUCUUGCUUGAUCGUUAUAUGCUUGCUUUGUAGGACGUAAUGAAAACGGCGAAGUACCGGAAACGGUGCUUUGACCAGAUAGAAGGCGUCAUGGCCGAGAACAAAGCCCUUGCCGCGGAGGUAGACCGGUUGCGGGCGGAGGUCGGGGAGAAGGUGGUCGAGAUGAGUGCCGAAAAGGAGCGUCGUCUCGACCUCGCUCGUCGUCUGGCCGACCAGUACCGGCUGCAGGAAGGUUAGUCACACGCUCCGAG